Long non-coding RNA from Cygnus olor (mute swan), 3737 nucleotides. RefSeq lists it as uncharacterized. NCBI's taxonomy places the organism in Eukaryota, Metazoa, Chordata, Aves, Anseriformes, Anatidae. The record is from RefSeq and is a predicted model, not a curated record. The transcript has 4 exons.
GCUUGCUACCUAAACUAAGACAAGAAUGAAAGCAUUUACAAUCUGGCACUAUUGAAGAAAACUUAAAACAGCUAAAGAAACCUCAGCAUAAAUUGUCAUUUGUGGGAUAGAUUUGCACCAGUUGGAGUAAUACUAAGUAACUUAAUGAAGAAAAGAAUUAAUGUAGGUUAAGCAUGUGAUAGUCUAAUGCUCAGUGAUUUUUUUUAUUAAUUUUAAUAUCUUUCUGAUGCUCAUCUUAAAUCUUGAUGGAAUUGCAUUCCUAGAAUCUCUGAUAAAACUUGUAUGUACAUACCUAGUGAAAAGUGCCUAUGUUGCCUUCUUACUGAAGAUGGCCAUUGUAACCCUAAGUUAAGGAAAAGACCCAGGUUUUCUGUCAUGACUUGUAAUUGGGAAACACAUAUUUUGCAAGUCAGAAGUCUAAUGUUCGAAAAUUUUUCCUAAAAAUUGUUCCAUAUUUGUCCACUGUGUUUGUGUGCAUAUGUCAAUAAUACAUUAAUUACAUAAAUGAAUUUUCAUGCAAUAAGAAACUACUUCAAGCUCUUCUAUAUAGCAUCUUUUUAACAGGGGGUAACUUUCAGAUAUUUUAUGUGUUAUUUUAGUUCAAAGAAAGAAAUCCAAUAUUGAAAUGACAAGAAAAUGAACUACAGAUCUUUAUAUGUUUUAACACUAAGAUCUAUGCUUUAUCUGUCUCUCUUCAGGUUUUUGUUGACUUUACAAUCUGAUGAAUCAUGAAUUCUUAACUUUUUUUUUCCAGUUGGCCUCGAUGGUUGAUUUUUUAUUCAUAAAGUUCAUAAAAACAGAUGUAGUAGCAUUUUAGCAUAUAUUUAUUUGGAAUAUGUUAAACAGUUGCUUAAUGUUGAAUUCAUCAGCUAUGACUUGUGCACAUGUGAGAUUUGGGAGCCACAGUUUAUGUUUAUGUUAUUUAAAUGAAUUUAAUGGGAAUAAAAAGUGCAAGGACUAUGCAAGUGUUCUGGGUUAUUCAGCAACGGUAUUAUAAUAAGCCAAAGCUUGAAAUUAAUUAAUUUCCUAACUACCACAAUGAAAUUGUUUUUAAUGAGGAAGCAAUCUGACUUCCAGACAUUCGGAUCCAGCUGUAAUGAAAAUGUGCAGCCUUUCCUAUGUGCGUGAUCACUGAGCAGGAGCACAUCAUUUCCCAAAGCUGUCCAAACCAGUGGUCCCUCUCCCUCAUGAGGUCCCCAUGUGCCACGUGCUGAGCUCUAGGUCAGGCAAGGGAACAGGAGAGAGAGCAUGGUGGCAUUUGUGACUGUACGGAAGCAAAUACUGUGCUGGGGUACUUCUUAUGAUAGCUACAGUACAAUAAUUCUGGAUGCAUGCUAACCUGGACAAACAUAUUAUGCAGUGACAGUGUUAACAUCUGUAUUUUAUUACUUAUGUUACUUCCACAGCAUGUGACUGGGAACGAAAGUGGAAAUACCGGUUUCUGCUCUCACCUUUCCCAAGAUCUAAUUUGUAAGCCAACUUUCUUUAAAAUAUUCAGAGACAGGAGAGAUGAUGCAAUGAGUACAUCAUCACAUGCCCAUCCCAAAAGGAAGACAAUUAUGAAUUUCAAGUGCAAAAACUUUCCUACUGUCCUACUGACUGAAAAGGAGAAAACAACAAUUUUAUAAAGAGAGGAGAGGCUACUAAGAGAAUUGUAUCUAUUUUCCUGGAAGGACUACAAAGAUUGACAAAUAUUUUUGUAAAGCAAUUUAGACCUACGGUGGCACUUUUUCAAAAGCAAUUCUGUGUAGAAUAGACUGAAAUGGACAUCGCUGUGGCAAUCAUGGUUGUUCACAAAACAUGAGUUCUGGAGAGCUGAGUGGCUAUCUGUUCCAGGAAGGUAGUGAUAGUGAAGAGUGGUCUAGCAGUUUCAAAGGAAGGUGAAAUUAUAUGAACAUGUGGAUGAGUGGCAGAGACAGUGGAGGUGAGUUUUAAACAAAAGCAGGAAAAAACGUUGGGCACAUUGCUAAAUCAGGAGGGGGGGAAAGAGGGUUUUAGCAGCAUAUUGUGCAGUUCUAUGCAAUGCAUUUUGAAGAUGUUUAUAAGUCAGAAUAGUGGAAUUUAGUCUAAUGGAGAGUUGCAGAGAACUGCAGCUGCCAGGAGGGCACUUUCAAUUGUGUGUACGCAGAGUGUUAGGAAGAGUUGCAGGAAUGGGACAAAAUAAAUGGUGUGAUACAAUACUGAUGUGGACUUGAGAUUUCUCAGUACAGAAACAAAAAGGAUUCUCUGUCUGCAAGUGAUCGUGCUUCUAGUUUCAUGCUGUGGGUCUGCUGUCAUCCGCUGUGAUUUGUUCAGCAAUUGGAAGAAAAAAAUUCUUUACAGGUAUUUCUUCUAGGAUAUGAUCACAGUCCCAUUCUCAUACUUAGCAAAUGAAUGCAAAGGGUGGAGCAUUCUGAUGUUUCAGUUCUUUUGAACUUCCCAAUGAGGCUUCUUUUUUUCUGCUGUUUCCCGACUGCCUAGAUAUGUUUUCAAUGUUUUGGAUCAUAUUCUUCAAGCGGUCUGUUAGCGCGCUCUUUGUUUAUCCUUUCUUUAAUGUUGCUGGAUCACCUUCACUGGUACUGGCCAGAACCAGUCUGACUUGUCUCAGUAGAGGGUGGCCUCAUCUUUGUUACUAGUUUUCGCACUUGCAUCCUCACCAUAUUUAGUGUGGGGAGGAUGUCACUGUACCCAAACUUCCUCUCUUGACCUCCUGAAGGAUGUCUUAGCUACCAGCACCUUUACCUAGAACUGGGUUGUGGCACUAAUGUGGCAGCAUUCUCUCUUCAACACUUCAUUUCACCCUGGUGCCAGCUUGCCUGGUACAGGUUCCCUCUCAGUGACAUAAGGUAAGAAGGUGCCUGCUCCCUUAACUCCAUGUGCCAGGAGGCUAAGCAGCAGCACAGCCUUUUCUCUCUUACUAUCCAUGCCAGAAAACAACUACAGAUAUAGGCACCCUAUAGAGACAGUAACAUGUUACCACCCCACCCCGAUUGCAUAGUGCUGGAGCCAUCUCAGUGUUCCCCACGCUUAUUUAUUUAUUUAUUUAUUUAUUUAUUUAUUUAUUUUGACAGGGCUAGACAUUGCCUCUUGCUUUUCCAUCUUUCAGUGUUGAAAGAAGUUUGACAAUUUCACUUAACCAGAACCUAACAUGUGGAGACUAGAAGCUCAGGAUUUUGGUAGUUGGCACUCCUGUAUUCAUAGCCAUGAAAACAUGAAGGUUUUGUAAUCUUCCAGAGAAGCAGGGUCUCUAUCUACAGAAAAUACAGAAAUAGCUACUUCUGUAGCCUUUCCUAUCUAUUGCUGUGAAGCCCUUUAUCGGAGGGCUAGUGAAGGGGGCUAGCUCAUCUCAUAAAUAAGGUAUCCAUGUUUCAUACAAAGACAACUAGUUGGUACAGAUCACAUCACACUUUGAGAGGCUGUAACAAAAUGAGCACUAGGUAGUUGCAUCUUCUCUCCAAUUAAUAUUUACAAUUAAUGGAAGUAAGGAGUCUGGAGAGGAGAACCUUUCUUGGUAAAGCUUUGUUUGUAUCUUCAGAGUUCUGUAUAUUUGGACUUGACAGUGUGUGGCUGACUCACCAACGGCGUGAAAUGUUUCUUACCUCUUCCCAGACGUACGGCAUUACGUACUUGUGUGAUACCUCCAGCUGUAGUCAGGCUGGUAGCGCACAGGGCUCUGACAGAUUUCUCAUCUGCUUAUGAAUGCUUAGGAUUUGAGGAUUCUCACAAUGUGCUUACAUACAGAUAAAAAAAAAAAAUAU